Molecule: ribosomal RNA, 740 nt
Filed under: uncultured archaeon
Lineage: Archaea
Description: bacterial SSU rRNA
Rfam family: Archaeal small subunit ribosomal RNA
Source: RNAcentral
UUCCGGUUGAUCCUGCCGGACCCGACUGCUAUCAGAGUAGGACUAAGCCAUGCGAGUCGACGUAGCAAUGCGUGGCGAACGGCUCAGUAACACGUAGUCAACAUGCCCAAGGGUCGUGGAUAACCUCGGGAAACUGAGAAUAAACCACGAUAGGUCAUGAUUUCUGGAGUGGAUCAUGGCUCAAAUCUACAUGGCCCCUGGAUUGGACUGCGGCCGAUCAGGCAGUUGGUGAGGUAAAGGCCCACCAAACCUAUAACCGGUACGGGCUCUGAGAGGAGAAGCCCGGAGAUGGGCACUGAGACAAGGGCCCAGGCCCUAUGGGGCGCAGCAGGCGCGAAACCUCUGCAAUAGGCGAAAGCCUGACAGGGUUACUCUGAGUGACUUUCGCUAAGAAAGUCUUUUGGCACCUCUAAAAAGGGUGCAGAAUAAGGGGUGGGCAAGUCUGGUGUCAGCCGCCGCGGUAAUACCAGCACCCCGAGUGGUCGGGACGAUUAUUGGGCCUAAAGCAUCCGUAGCCGGUUCUGCAAGUCCCCCGUUAAAUCCAGCUGCUCAACAGAUGGGCCGCGGAGGAUACUACAGAGCUAGGAGGCAGGAGAGGCAAGCGGUACUCAGUGGGUAGGGGUAAAAUCCGUUGAUCCAUUGAAGACCACCAGUGGCGAAGGCGGCUUGCCAGAACGCGCUCGACGGUGAGGGAUGAAAGCUGGGGGAGCAAACCGGAUUAGAUACCCGGGUAGUCCCAG